CUGCCUGGUCUUUAUUGUGCUCGGGCUCCUCGCCCGCCUCCUCGCUCCAUGAAGCGCGCCCAGCGCUCCAGCUUUGCAGACACGCACGCGUGCACGAGGAGACAACCGAGCAAAGGUGCCGCCGCCGCCGCUUGUGGUUCCUCCUGCAAGCCGGAUUAAGGCUGCUGAUCUGAUGCUCAGCAGCGCCCCACGGGACCCGCUUCUUGGUCGGCCGGGGACAGAGGUUGGGUGGCAGCGACGCUUCAAGCCCGGCUGCUGCUGCAAGGCGCCCGGCUAAGUCUGCUGCGGAGGCGCAGGCAGGAGCUGCUGCAGGGAAGCCGGUUUCCGCCUCGCCACCGGAGGAGGAGCAGCAGCAACGCUGCCCAGCCCGGGAAGGUACCAAGCCAUGGAUGGAGAUCUUCUGAGAAACUGGAAAAUGGAGGAGUCUUCCAUCUUCAUGUUCUACCAGCCUCUGGAGAGAUACCAAGCAAAGGUGGCGCAGCUUCACUUCUCUGCUAGGACUGUGUAAACUUCUGUGCCUUCCUAAGCUAUUACCUUCUCCUCGUGUUUCAUUGCUGCUGUUAUUGUUGCAGUUUUAUGCACGCUUACUUGGGAGUAAGUUCUGUUGGACACAGUGGCACAUAUUUUUGGGGUAAACUUGGAUAAGUUGGAGCUGCGUGAUAACCAAUAAUAAUACCCUCUUGACGGUACCGUAAUCUGCAGUCCCAAGUCGCAGGGCAUCUAGAGAGGUGUUUUCGGUGCCCGCUCCGACACUAUCAAACUCCCUACCUUGGGAGACUUGCCUCAGGUUGGACCACGUAUAAAGCACUUCUCAAAAAUUAGAGCUGGUGAGUGGAGCACCACCAUGUGGAAAGAGAUCUUCCGUGAUUCUGAACACGCAUUGCAAAUACGAACGGACAAAUACAGUUUUUGGCAUGUUUGUUUCAGCAAGCCUAUGUGGCCUAUGUAAAAUGUUGAUAUGUGUUUCAAUCUGAUAUUUAGGCUAUUGUUGGUUUUAAUUAUUGUUUUAAAAUAAUUGUUUUUAAUGACAAUACUAUUUUUAUAGGGUUAUUGGACUAAAUAAUAAUAAAUGAAUGGAUUUUAAUAGCAAACUAAACAAAAGAAUAACAAAUUGUGGACCAAGGAGUAGUCUGCAGUGUGAUUUUAGCCAGAUCUAUAUAUUAUUAUUCUUAGAAGAAUGAUUAUUCUUCAGAGCUGAGCAGGCCCAGAGUACGUUCACCCAGGAGUUGGGUUCCUGGAUCCUAACAGCAGUCCAUUUCACUCUCCGUACAUCAUUCACCUAGCAAUGGUUAGAGUUUCCGUAUAAGCUCUGAACCAUCACAGCCCCGUUUCCAGAAUGAAAAUAGGUUAUUCAUGCAAAUUGCAUUUUAACUGCUGGCUUUAAAUGUGUUGUGAUGUAUUUUAACUAUCUUCUUUUAACUACUUGUGUUUUACAAGUUGAGAUGGGCUAUAGAUAUAUUAAAUAAUAGUCACCUGCUGUGUUUGAGGAACGCAUAGCUAUAUUGUGGCAGUUCAUAAUGUGGUGAAUCUGCAGGAUAAGGGAAAGAGCUGUUAAGUAUACUGGAUAGUCAGUGCCAAACAGGGCCGGCCCACCCAUGAGGCAGUGUGGGCAAUGGAUCCGGUCUCCAAGGAGUCCCGCAGCCACGGUGACAACAAUGGCUGUGGCACGCUGCUUGAAGUCCUGAUCUGCCUCUACAGCAGCCUUGUUCCCGAUGUAGAUCUUCACUCACCCAUUCUUCCCCAAUUGUGGGAGGAACCGUUUUGUGGCUUGCCUCGGGUACCAAAAUGUCUUGGGCUGGCCUUGAUGGUGAAGAUCUCAAGGUGUUCAUAGAUUAUGUUUGCAUACCAGGAAGUUCUCCAGUGUUGAGUCUUCCUGCAUCUCCGAGUCUUAAUAGCAGAAGGCACCCCAAGCAAACACACUACCAACUAUCAAGUCAUAAAAUAAAAUUGCAGUCCCACCCUGAAGUGGUUCAUCAGCCAGGGACUGGGUAGUCAGUGGGCCACCCGUAAUGCUUGCCUUGAGAUGAUGGGCGUCCCCAGUCAUCAGUGAUAUCUGGCAGAUUGAAGAUACAUAUUCUGUAUUUCAGAGGCUUGGCCAUCUGUCUCUCUUGUAGAUUUAUAUAGAUUAGAAAUGGGCUCCAUAUACUUAAGGAACAAAAAAUAUGUUAGCAGGUAACAGAAACUUUUAACUAAUGGGAUAUCGUUUUCAUGGCAGCUUUUAUCCAGAAAUUUUAGAAUCUGAUUGCUGGGUCUUUGCCUGCCACUAAUUUUGCAAUAAACAAAAAACACUUCAGAAUAUGCAGCACAAACAAAUUACUGAACUACUAUAAAUGUGUGGAAGCUGCUGUUGUAAAACAUAAAUUGUAUGUUACAAUGCCUCCUCAGAUAUGUAGAAAGUUGGCCUGUGUUUUGAUUAGGCUGUUAGCUUAUUGUUGAUUUUUUAUGUUUUUAACUGUUUUAACUGUUACUGAUAAAUUAUUUAUUUUUAUACUUGAGCUACUUUGAGUUUUUUUAAAAACAAUUGAGUGGUAUAUGAACUUUUCCGAAAUAAAUAACACGUUAUUUUUGUUUCUGAA
This is a long non-coding RNA of Podarcis muralis (Common wall lizard), 2576 nucleotides long. RefSeq lists it as uncharacterized. The record is from RefSeq and is a predicted model, not a curated record. NCBI's taxonomy places the organism in Eukaryota, Metazoa, Chordata, Lepidosauria, Squamata, Lacertidae.